UUUCCUCUGCAGCAGCACCUUCUCCUUCCUCUGUAGUUUCCUUCUUAGCAACAGUCUUCUUCUUCCUACCAAUGUCAAUGCCAUAGUGCUGAAGAUACCAUUGCUUAAAUGGAGCUGCAUCUACUUGGACAAUUGCACUCUUCACCAGAGUUUGUGUCCUAACAAGCUCAUUGUUUGAGGCAUUGUAAACCACAUCAAGAAUACGAGUCUUCCGAGUGACAGCCUCACUACCCCAGGAAUAAUUUCC
This 247-nucleotide unclassified non-coding RNA is filed under the name Hevea brasiliensis (rubber tree). Lineage: Eukaryota; Viridiplantae; Streptophyta; Magnoliopsida; Malpighiales; Euphorbiaceae. The record is from RNAcentral.